RNAcentral lists this ribosomal RNA (435 nucleotides) under uncultured bacterium. Its description in RNAcentral is "bacterial SSU rRNA". It matches the Rfam family "Bacterial small subunit ribosomal RNA", at positions 28 to 461 of the family's 1533-position model. The record is from RNAcentral.
GAUGAACGCUGGCGGCGUGCUUAACACAUGCAAGUCGAACGGGAUCCACCGGGCUUUGCUUGGUGGUGAGAGUGGCGAACGGGUGAGUAAUGCGUGACCGACCUGCCCCAUACACCGGAAUAGCUCCUGGAAACGGGUGGUAAUGCCGGAUGCUCCAGUUGAUCGCAUGGUCUUCUGGGAAAGCUUUCGCGGUAUGGGAUGGGGUCGCGUCCUAUCAGCUUGACGGCGGGGUAACGGCCCACCGUGGCUUCGACGGGUAGCCGGCCUGAGAGGACGACCGGCCACAUUGGGACUGAGAUACGGCCCAGACUCCUACGGGAGGCAGCAGUGGGGAAUAUUGCACAAUGGGCGCAAGCCUGAUGCAGCGACGCCGCGUGAGGGAUGGAGGCCUUCGGGUUGUAAACCUCUUUUAUCGGGGAGCAAGCGAGAGUGAGU